GACGAGCGCUGGCGGCGUGCUUAACACAUGCAAGUCGAACGGAAAGGCCCAGCUUGCUGGGUACUCGAGUGGCGAACGGGUGAGUAACACGUGGGUGAUCUGCCCUGCACUCUGGGAUAAGCCUGGGAAACUGGGUCUAAUACCGGAUAUGAUCAACUGUCGCUUGGUGGUGGGUGGAAAGCUUUUGCGGUGUGGGAUGGGCCCGCGGCCUAUCAGCUUGUUGGUGGGGUAAUGGCCUACCAAGGCGACGACGGGUAGCCGACCUGAGAGGGUGAUCGGCCACACUGGGACUGAGACACGGCCCAGACUCCUACGGGAGGCAGCAGUGGGGAAUAUUGCACAAUGGGCGCAAGCCUGAUGCAGCGACGCCGCGUGAGGGAUGACGGCCUUCGGGUUGUAAACCUCUUUCACCAGGGACGAAGCGUGAGUGACGGUACCUGGAGAAGAGGCACCGGCCAACUACGUGCCAGCAGCCGCCGUAA
RNAcentral lists this ribosomal RNA (482 nucleotides) under uncultured bacterium. RNAcentral describes it as "partial 16S ribosomal RNA". It matches the Rfam family "Bacterial small subunit ribosomal RNA", at positions 28 to 523 of the family's 1533-position model. The record is from RNAcentral.